This 442-nucleotide ribosomal RNA is filed under the name uncultured bacterium. Its description in RNAcentral is "bacterial SSU rRNA". It matches the Rfam family "Bacterial small subunit ribosomal RNA", at positions 958 to 1398 of the family's 1533-position model. The record is from RNAcentral.
AACGCGAAGAACCUUACCUGGGCUCGAAGCGCAGUGGACCGGGGUAGAAAUAUCCCUUCCCCUUAAAAGGCUGCUGCGGAGGUGCUGCAUGGCUGUCGUCAGCUCGUGUCGUGAGAUGUUGGGUUAAGUCCCGCAACGAGCGCAACCCUUAUCCCUAGUUGCCAUCGGGUCAAGCCGGGCACUCUAGUGAAACUGCCUGGGAUAACCAGGAGGAAGGUGGGGAUGACGUCAAGUCCUCAUGGCCUUUAUGUCCAGGGCUACACACGUGCUACAAUGGUCGGUACAAACCGUCGCAAACCCGUGAGGGGGAGCCAAUCGGAAAAAACCGAUCUCAGUUCGGAUUGCAGGCUGCAACUCGCCUGCAUGAAGCUGGAAUCGCUAGUAAUCACGCAUCAGAACGGCGUGGUGAAUACGUUCCCGGGCCUUGUACACACCGCUAGUC